UUUAAUUGAAGAGUUUGAUCAUGGCUCAGAUUGAACGCUGGCGGCAGGCUUAACACAUGCAAGUCGAGCGGUAGCACAGGGGAGCUUGCUCCCUGGGUGACGAGCGGCGGACGGGUGAGUAAUGUCUGGGAAACUGCCUGAUGGAGGGGGAUAACUACUGGAAACGGUAGCUAAUACCGCAUAACGUCGCAAGACCAAAGAGGGGGACCUUCGGGCCUCUUGCCAUCAGAUGUGCCCAGAUGGGAUUAGCUAGUAGGUGGGGUAAUGGCUCACCUAGGCGACGAUCCCUAGCUGGUCUGAGAGGAUGACCAGCCACACUGGAACUGAGACACGGUCCAGACUCCUACGGGAGGCAGCAGUGGGGAAUAUUGCACAAUGGGCGCAAGCCUGAUGCAGCCAUGCCGCGUGUGUGAAGAAGGCCUUCGGGUUGUAAAGCACUUUCAGCGAGGAGGAAGGUGGUGAGCUUAAUACGCUCAUCAAUUGACGUUACUCGCAGAAGAAGCACCGGCUAACUCCGUGCCAGCAGCCGCGGUAAUACGGAGGGUGCAAGCGUUAAUCGGAAUUACUGGGCGUAAAGCGCACGCAGGCGGUUUGUUAAGUCAGAUGUGAAAUCCCCGGGCUCAACCUGGGAACUGCAUUUGAAACUGGCAAGCUAGAGUCUCGUAGAGGGGGGUAGAAUUCCAGGUGUAGCGGUGAAAUGCGUAGAGAUCUGGAGGAAUACCGGUGGCGAAGGCGGCCCCCUGGACGAAGACUGACGCUCAGGUGCGAAAGCGUGGGGAGCAAACAGGAUUAGAUACCCUGGUAGUCCACGCUGUAAACGAUGUCGAUUUGGAGGUUGUGCCCUUGAGGCGUGGCUUCCGGAGCUAACGCGUUAAAUCGACCGCCUGGGGAGUACGGCCGCAAGGUUAAAACUCAAAUGAAUUGACGGGGGCCCGCACAAGCGGUGGAGCAUGUGGUUUAAUUCGAUGCAACGCGAAGAACCUUACCUACUCUUGACAUCCAGAGAACUUUCCAGAGAUGGAUUGGUGCCUUCGGGAACUCUGAGACAGGUGCUGCAUGGCUGUCGUCAGCUCGUGUUGUGAAAUGUUGGGUUAAGUCCCGCAACGAGCGCAACCCUUAUCCUUUGUUGCCAGCGGUUCGGCCGGGAACUCAAAGGAGACUGCCAGUGAUAAACUGGAGGAAGGUGGGGAUGACGUCAAGUCAUCAUGGCCCUUACGAGUAGGGCUACACACGUGCUACAAUGGCAUAUACAAAGAGAAGCGACCUCGCGAGAGCAAGCGGACCUCAUAAAGUAUGUCGUAGUCCGGAUUGGAGUCUGCAACUCGACUCCAUGAAGUCGGAAUCGCUAGUAAUCGUAGAUCAGAAUGCUACGGUGAAUACGUUCCCGGGCCUUGUACACACCGCCCGUCACACCAUGGGAGUGGGUUGCAAAAGAAGUAGGUAGCUUAACCUUCGGGAGGGCGCUUACCACUUUGUGAUUCAUGACUGGGGUGAAGUCGUAACAAGGUAACCGUAGGGGAACCUGCGGUUGGAUCACCUCCUUACC
This 1546-nucleotide ribosomal RNA is filed under the name Serratia sp. JKS296. RNAcentral's name for it is "bacterial SSU rRNA". It matches the Rfam family "Bacterial small subunit ribosomal RNA". Lineage: Bacteria; Pseudomonadati; Pseudomonadota; Gammaproteobacteria; Enterobacterales; Yersiniaceae. The record is from RNAcentral.